ACUCCUACGGGAGGCAGCAGUGGGGAAUAUUGCACAAUGGGCGCAAGCCUGAUGCAGCCAUGCCGCGUGUAUGAAGAAGGCCUUCGGGUUGUAAAGUACUUUCAGCAGUGAGGAAGGUUCAUGCGUUAAUAGCGUAUGGAUUUGACGUUAGCUGCAGAAGAAGCACCGGCUAACUCCGUGCCAGCAGCCGCGGUAAUACGGAGGGUGCGAGCGUUAAUCGGAAUUACUGGGCGUAAAGCGCAUGCAGGUGGUUUGUUAAGUCAGAUGUGAAAGCCCGGGGCUCAACCUCGGAAUAGCAUUUGAAACUGGCAGACUAGAGUACUGUAGAGGGGGGUAGAAUUUCAGGUGUAGCGGUGAAAUGCGUAGAGAUCUGAAGGAAUACCAGUGGCGAAGGCGGCCCCCUGGACAAAGACUGACGCUCAGAUGCGAAAGCGUGGGGAGCAAACAGGAUUAGAUACCCUGGUAGGAUAGCG
Molecule: ribosomal RNA, 473 nt
Filed under: uncultured bacterium
Lineage: Bacteria
Description: bacterial SSU rRNA
Rfam family: Bacterial small subunit ribosomal RNA
Source: RNAcentral